Non-coding RNA from Mycena latifolia, 87 nucleotides. Lineage: Eukaryota; Fungi; Basidiomycota; Agaricomycetes; Agaricales; Mycenaceae. The record is from the annotation of a GenBank genome assembly.
GGACCAGUAGCAUAACGGUUAAUGCUGCCUGAGAUAUGUAAUGUAACACCUUCCCAGGGGUUCCCCGUUCGACUCGGGGCUGAUCCA